GACGAACGCUGGCGGCGUGCCUAAUACAUGCAAGUAGAACGCUGAAGAGAGGAGCUUGCUCUUCUUGGAUGAGUUGCGAACGGGUGAGUAACGCGUAGGUAACCUGCCUGGUAGCGGGGGAUAACUAUUGGAAACGAUAGCUAAUACCGCAUAAAAUGGAUUAUCGCAUGAUAAUCCAUUGAAAGGUGCAAAUGCAUCACUACCAGAUGGACCUGCGUUGUAUUAGCUAGUUGGUGGGGUAACGGCUCACCAAGGCGACGAUACAUAGCCGACCUGAGAGGGUGAUCGGCCACACUGGGACUGAGACACGGCCCAGACUCCUACGGGAGGCAGCAGUAGGGAAUCUUCGGCAAUGGACGGAAGUCUGACCGAGCAACGCCGCGGGAGUGAAGAAGGUUGUCGGAUCGUAAAGCUCUGUUGUAAGAGAAGAACGAGUGUGAGAGUGGAAAGUUCACACUGUGACGGUAUCUUACCAGAAAGGGACGGCUAACUACGUG
Molecule: ribosomal RNA, 497 nt
Filed under: uncultured bacterium
Lineage: Bacteria
Description: partial 16S ribosomal RNA
Rfam family: Bacterial small subunit ribosomal RNA
Source: RNAcentral